GACGAACGCUGGCGGCGUGCUUAACACAUGCGAGUCGAACGGAAAGGCCCUGCUUUUGUGGGGUGCUCGAGUGGCGAACGGGUGAGUAACACGUGAGUAACCUGCCCUUGACUUUGGGAUAACUUCAGGAAACUGGGGCUAAUACCGGAUAGGAGCUCCUGCUGCAUGGUGGGGGUUGGAAAGUUUCGGCGGUUGGGGAUGGACUCGCGGCUUAUCAGCUUGUUGGUGGGGUAGUGGCUUACCAAGGCUUUGACGGGUAGCCGGCCUGAGAGGGUGACCGGCCACAAUGGGACUAAGAUACGGCCCAGUCUCCUACGGGAGGCAGCAGUGGGGAAUAUGGCACAAUGGGCGGAAGCCUGAUGCAGCAACGCCGCGUGCGGGAUGACGGCCUUCGGGUUGUAAACCGCUUUCGCCGGUGACGAAGCGUGAGUGACGGUAAUGGGUAAAGAAGCACCGGCUAACUACGUG
This 468-nucleotide ribosomal RNA is filed under the name uncultured bacterium. RNAcentral describes it as "partial 16S ribosomal RNA". It matches the Rfam family "Bacterial small subunit ribosomal RNA", at positions 28 to 507 of the family's 1533-position model. The record is from RNAcentral.